This 253-nucleotide ribosomal RNA is filed under the name uncultured bacterium. RNAcentral's name for it is "partial 16S ribosomal RNA". It matches the Rfam family "Bacterial small subunit ribosomal RNA", at positions 524 to 776 of the family's 1533-position model. The record is from RNAcentral.
UACGUAGGGUCCAAGCGUUGUCCGGAGUUACUGGGCGUAAAGAGCGCGCAGGCGGUCGUUCAAGUCGAGUGUGAAAGCCCCCGGCUCAACUGGGGAGGGUCAUUCGAUACUGAUCGACUCGAAGGCAGGAGAGGGAAGUGGAAUUCCCGGUGUAGUGGUGAAAUGCGUAGAUAUCGGGAGGAACACCAGCGGCGAAGGCGACUUCCUGGCCUGUUCUUGACGCUGAGGCGCGAAAGCUAGGGGAGCAAACGGG